RNAcentral lists this unclassified non-coding RNA (328 nucleotides) under plant metagenome. RNAcentral's name for it is "partial contains 5.8S ribosomal RNA, internal transcribed spacer 2, and large subunit ribosomal RNA". The stretch from base 1 to 104 matches the Rfam family "5.8S ribosomal RNA", at positions 51 to 154 of the family's 154-position model. The record is from RNAcentral.
AAAUGCGAUAAGUAAUGUGCAUUGCAGAAUUCCGUGAAUCAUCGAAUCUUUGAACGCACAUUGCGCCCUCUGGUAUUCCGGGGGGCAUGCCUGUCCGAGCGUCAUUGCGAACCCCUCAAGCACGGCUUGUGUGAUGGGCCCUCCCGCGUCUUGGUCGUCAAGACGGGCCCGAAAUGCAGUGGCGGCUUCGCGGUUAUCCGAUCAGCCAGAGCGUAUGGGGACUUUCUCUCUGUCACACGCCCGCGGCGCGGACCGACGCCUGUCGACCUUCAUUCAUCGUUUUCUCGGUUGACCUCGGAUCAGGUAGGGAUACCCGCUGAACUUAAGC